UAGGUCUCAGUUCAGAUUGCAGGCUGCAACCCGCCUGCAUGAAGUCGGAAUUGCUAGUAAUCGCGGAUCAGCAUGCCGCGGUGAAUACGUUCCCGGGCCUUGUACACACCGCCCGUCAAACCAUGAGAGUUGGCAACACCCGAAGUCGGUAGUCUAACCGCAAGGAGGACGCCGCCGAAGGUGGGGUUGAUGAUUAGGGUUAAGUCGUAACAAGGUAGC
This 219-nucleotide ribosomal RNA is filed under the name uncultured bacterium. Its description in RNAcentral is "partial 16S ribosomal RNA". It matches the Rfam family "Bacterial small subunit ribosomal RNA", at positions 1282 to 1500 of the family's 1533-position model. The record is from RNAcentral.